Molecule: transfer RNA, 75 nt
Filed under: Thermodesulfobacterium commune
Lineage: Bacteria; Pseudomonadati; Thermodesulfobacteriota; Thermodesulfobacteria; Thermodesulfobacteriales; Thermodesulfobacteriaceae
Also listed under: 12 other names
Description: tRNA-Ala
Rfam family: tRNA
About the family: Transfer RNA (tRNA) molecules are approximately 80 nucleotides in length. Their secondary structure includes four short double-helical elements and three loops (D, anti-codon, and T loops). Further hydrogen bonds mediate the characteristic L-shaped molecular structure. tRNAs have two regions of fundamental functional importance: the anti-codon, which is responsible for specific mRNA codon recognition, and the 3' end, to which the tRNAs corresponding amino acid is attached (by aminoacyl-tRNA synthetases). tRNAs cope with the degeneracy of the genetic code in two manners: having more than one tRNA (with a specific anti-codon) for a particular amino acid; and 'wobble' base-pairing, i.e. permitting non-standard base-pairing at the 3rd anti-codon position.
Source: RNAcentral
GGGGCCGUAGCUCAGAGGGAGAGCGCGUGAAUGGCAUUCACGAGGUCGUGGGUUCAAGUCCCACCGGCUCCACCA